ACAAGUGCAGAUCAGUGUCGCUCCAAGUCUCCGAGGAGACUGUGUUAGUUCUAAUUUUCACCGCAAGCGUAGUGAGCAUGUGAAUCGGUGACGAUCGGUAGGAUGCAUGGAGUGGGAUGUAAACAAAAAAUGACAGAAAAAAAAAAAACGCUGUCACUUACGUGAAAGAAUGCGCUUGGAUAUCGAAGAUUUUGGAACAAAUGUGACACUAAAGUAAAGUAACUUUGGAAACAGAAUAAAUAGGAUCACCGUUCAGGCAGAAAUGAGUGGGGUCAUACUUCAGAAUCGACGGAACAGCUGGACGAUCGUCCAAAUUAACAGGAUCUUGAAAAUUGCAGAUGCAAAUAAAAAGAUGAGCACUUUACAGGAGAUUCGAAGAAUUGCUCCAAGGUAUCGAAAGAAUACUGGAAAGUACGAUUUAGCAAAAGUGAAAAAGGAGAAAAAUGUUGGAGUACAGUGAUGCCACCGCCUACUUCAAAAGAUUUUUCAAAACCGACAGCGCUGAGAAAUGACCCUCUUAUAUCCAAGACAAUCCCCAGUGUGAUGUAUUUGUCAUGAAGAUAGUACCACACAAGAUCUUUUCAAGUGACGAAAAUACCAUAAAUAGCAGCUGGAAUGCGCACAAACUACAUACGAUAUAAAAAACAACUGAAAAGAAUAGUAGCAAGAAAAGAGAUAUCUUAUUAUGCAACUGCCAUGUUAUGGGUGCACUUAAUUGAUAUUAAGGCUAAGCGAGGUGACGGAGUGUUAACAAGUGCGGAAGAGGACAUACUCGCAGGAACAGCCGAUGAUCUGUAUAAAUGUUUUAGUGAGAUUGGAGUGUACACAAUUAUGAUGGGAAAUGAGAUGCAGCCAAAAAUACCAUCACUACCAGUUAUAUAACGCAAAGCGUUAUUCAUGAAAAUUCACAUAUGAUUUUUGGAGUAGUGUCAUAGUAGUGUCAUCUUCAAAGAUUGUAGGAGAUUGUUGAUCAUGACAAAGGAAUGAUACUGUGAUAAAUUUACCAGUAACACAUUUAAACACGAAGUGAAAUCAACUAUUGGUAAGAUCAAAAGGUACGAGGAAGAAAGUGAUAACACAAAAUAUUUAUUAUCUGAUUACCAAGUGUAACAUAAACGAUUGAUUCAUGAUCCCUAAUAAAAUGGUUGUACGAAUGAUA
Molecule: long non-coding RNA, 1159 nt
Organism: Athalia rosae (coleseed sawfly)
Lineage: Eukaryota; Metazoa; Arthropoda; Insecta; Hymenoptera; Athaliidae
Exons: 2
Source: RefSeq, a predicted model, not a curated record